GACGAACGCUGGCGGCGUGCUUAACACAUGCAAGUCGAACGGAAAGGCCCUGCUUUUGUGGGGUGCUCGAGUGGCGAACGGGUGAGUAACACGUGAGUAACCUGCCCUUGACUUUGGGAUAACUUCAGGAAACUGGGGCUAAUACCGGAUAGGAGCUCCUGCUGCAUGGUGUGGGUUGGAAAGUUUCGGCGGUUGGGGAUGGACUCGCGGCUUAUCAGCUUGUUGGUGGGGUAGUGGCUUACCAAGGCUUUGACGGGUAGCCGGCCUGAGAGGGUGACCGGCCACAUUGGGACUGAGAUGCGGCCCAGACUCCUACGGGAGGCAGCAGUGGGGAAUAUUGCACAAUGGGCGGAAGCCGGAUGCAGCAACGCCGCGUGCGGGAUGACGGCCUUCGGGUUGUAAACCGCUUUCGCCUGUGACGAAGCGUGGGUGACGGUAAUGGGUAAAGAAGCACCGGCUAACUACGUG
Molecule: ribosomal RNA, 468 nt
Filed under: uncultured bacterium
Lineage: Bacteria
Description: partial 16S ribosomal RNA
Rfam family: Bacterial small subunit ribosomal RNA
Source: RNAcentral